This 72-nucleotide transfer RNA is filed under the name Candidatus Pacearchaeota archaeon. RNAcentral's name for it is "tRNA-Arg". It matches the Rfam family "tRNA". Rfam says of the family: Transfer RNA (tRNA) molecules are approximately 80 nucleotides in length. Their secondary structure includes four short double-helical elements and three loops (D, anti-codon, and T loops). Further hydrogen bonds mediate the characteristic L-shaped molecular structure. tRNAs have two regions of fundamental functional importance: the anti-codon, which is responsible for specific mRNA codon recognition, and the 3' end, to which the tRNAs corresponding amino acid is attached (by aminoacyl-tRNA synthetases). tRNAs cope with the degeneracy of the genetic code in two manners: having more than one tRNA (with a specific anti-codon) for a particular amino acid; and 'wobble' base-pairing, i.e. permitting non-standard base-pairing at the 3rd anti-codon position. Lineage: Archaea; Nanobdellati. The record is from RNAcentral.
AGGCCUAUAAGUUAAAGGAUAGACUCCCCGGCUUCGGACCGGGUAAUCAGGGUUCAAUUCCCUGUAGGCCUA